Long non-coding RNA from Anguilla anguilla (European eel), 232 nucleotides. RefSeq lists it as uncharacterized. The transcript is spliced from 3 exons. The record is from RefSeq and is a predicted model, not a curated record. Lineage: Eukaryota; Metazoa; Chordata; Actinopteri; Anguilliformes; Anguillidae.
AAGAGUGAUCGUUCAAUGGAUCAUCCAAUCACAUUCAGGGGAGAGUUCGCAGGUGAUCAAAGGGUCCAGGUAGAAAGAGCAGGGUCACCUGUACCCAGCUGUCUGUCUACGAAGAGUGAUAGUUCAAUGGAUCAUCCAAUCACAUUCAGGGGAGAGUUCGCAGGUGAUCAAAGGGUCCAGGUAGAAAGAGCAGGGUCACCUGUACCCAGCUGUCUGUCUAUGAAGAGUGAUA